This 868-nucleotide ribosomal RNA is filed under the name uncultured bacterium. Its description in RNAcentral is "bacterial SSU rRNA". It matches the Rfam family "Bacterial small subunit ribosomal RNA", at positions 36 to 896 of the family's 1533-position model. The record is from RNAcentral.
CUGGCGGCAGGCUUAACACAUGCAAGUCGAGCGGUAACAGCGGGAGCAUGCUCCCCGCUGACGAGCGGCGGACGGGUGAGUAAUGCUUAGGAAACUGCCCAGUAGUGGGGGAUAGCCCGGGGAAAACCGGAUUAAUACCGCGUACGCCCUUCGGGGGAAAGCAGGGGAUCUUCGGACCUUGCGCUAUUGGAUGUGCCUAAGUCGGAUUAGCUAGUUGGUGGGGUAAAGGCCUACCAAGGCGACGAUCCGUAGCUGGUCUGAGAGGAUGAUCAGACACAUCGGGACUGAGACACGGCCCGAACUCCUACGGGAGGCUGCAGUGGGGAAUAUUGGACAAUGGGGGCAACCCUGAUCCAGCCAUGCCGCGUGUGUGAAGAAGGCUUUCGGGUUGUAAAGCACUUUCAGUGAGGAGGAAGGCUCAAAGGUUAAUACCCUAUGGGAUUGACGUUACUCACAGAAGAAGCACCGGCUAACUCCGUGCCAGCAGCCGCGGUAAUACGGAGGGUGCAAGCGUUAAUCGGAAUUACUGGGCGUAAAGCGCGCGUAGGUGGUUUGAUAAGCGAGAUGUGAAAGCCCCGGGCUUAACCUGGGAACGGCAUUUCGAACUGUCAGGCUAGAGUGUGGUAGAGGGUAGUGGAAUUACCUGUGUAGCGGUGAAAUGCGUAGAUAUAGGAAGGAACACCAGUGGCGAAGCCGGCUACCUGGACCAACACUGACACUGAGGUGCGAAAGCGUGGGGAGCAAUCAGGUUAGAUACCCUGGUAGUCCACGCCGUAAACGAUGUCAACUAGCCGUUGGGACUCUUGAAGUCUUAGUGGCGCAGCUAACGCACUAAGUUGACCGCCUGGGGAGUACGGCCGCAAGGUUA